GUGGGUCCCUGGAGAGGGUCCCAGCCCCGGACGCCUGGGUUCCCAGGGAGGGUUUUCCCACCCCGACACCUGGGUCCCAUCCCCGGACGCCUGGGUCCCUCUUAUCUCUAUUACGGGGUUGGGGAGGGGUCCCCUGCCUGGACGUCCCCACCUGGAUGCCUGGAUCGCCCGCAGGAUGUCAUCUCCACCACUGUCCCUGGCGGUGGCCUCGGCCACGGCGGCCUCGGGACGGGUGCUGCAGGCACUGGGGGAGCUGGCGGAGGCGCUGGGAACACCGGGAAUGGUGGCAAAGGCGUUGGCAGAGGCGAAGGUGGUGCUGAGGGAGGCGGAGGUGGUGCUGGAGAGGCUGCAGACGGCGCUGGAGGACGCGAUGGCGGCAGCGGCGGCGAUGACGCCGCCAACACUGGGGCUCAAUGCCGAAGGGCUCUACCGGGCUCUGGGGACGGCCGCCGAUGCCAGCGCUUCCGAGCUAGAGCGGGAACUGUGCCGGAAUCGCCGGCGGCGCUGGGGUCUGUGGGUGGCCCGGACUGUUGCCCUGGUGCUGCUGCUUGUCUGUGCCCCCCUGUUGUCCCUGGACGUGGUGCGGGAGGCGCUGGGGGUGACGCAGGAGAGUCACCUCGUCCCCUGCCUGGCCACCAUCGCCCUUGUCAGCCAGGUGGCCCUGUGGGGCGCGGGGACAUCCAAGCGUCACUUGGCCACCGCCGCCAGCCAGCAGCGUCACC
This 722-nucleotide long non-coding RNA is filed under the name Aquila chrysaetos chrysaetos. RNAcentral describes it as "lncRNA (ENSACCG00020016914.1)". The record is from RNAcentral. Lineage: Eukaryota; Metazoa; Chordata; Aves; Accipitriformes; Accipitridae.